UUAUAGCAACCAAUAAUGCUAGAUAAUAUUUUUUUGUAUUUCACCGAAAUUUCCAAUAUAGUAGAGGGGUUUCAGUCGGUAGGUCCGAGGACACCCUCCUCGGGAAUCCGACACCCAGUCGUACGGAUGGCUGGGUGUCUUUUGAAGAUUUCCCCUCUUC
Non-coding RNA from Agrilus planipennis (emerald ash borer), 160 nucleotides. NCBI's taxonomy places the organism in Eukaryota, Metazoa, Arthropoda, Insecta, Coleoptera, Buprestidae. The record is from Rfam.